RNAcentral lists this long non-coding RNA (2486 nucleotides) under Dunaliella salina. Its description in RNAcentral is "long non-coding RNA (DSAL_LNC000396)". The record is from RNAcentral. Lineage: Eukaryota; Viridiplantae; Chlorophyta; Chlorophyceae; Chlamydomonadales; Dunaliellaceae.
UGAGGAAGAGCAGCAGAAGUACGCAGUGGAGCUGGUGUCAUUUCUUGUCUAUGAGGGGGCGCUGCCUCAUACACCCACGCCCAGGCAGAGGGAGCGUGGUGCGGCCAGGAAUCUGAAACAGAGAGCAAAUACAUGACUGAGGUGUGUGCCUGGCUAGCUAGCUGCUGUUGUAAGGAGGAGUGCAUACAAAGAAACUCCAAACAUACGUUCAUGCAGCCCUUGUGUCUUCUUGUGAUACUGGUCAGAACCUGGCCAGCCCUUCUGGUUUCAAGUAGAGCUGUCCAUUUCUCCUCCCCUACUUCCUUCUUUUACAAGCUAGGUUACAAGGUUACAAUUGGGUUUGACCUUCAGCCAGGUUGUUUGGCUGCUCGGCCUGAUAAACUGUUCCAUCCAAAGAAAAAAUAUCCAUGCGAUUAGGGGGCGGUCACACACAAUUUUUUUCGGCCUUUUUUCCGUCAGUGUUGAAAAAAAUUUUCACUUUGGGCGAAAAAAAUUGCGGUCACACACAAAAUUUUUUUCCUCGGGCAAAUUUUUUUGGCCCACCCAAAAAAUUUUUCGGUUCCAGCCAGAAGUCACUAGGGACCGUCUUUGGGAAAUUUUUUUGGUUGGGGUCAGUUUUCAGUUACCGUUUGGGAGUGCCUCUUGGGAGUGCCCCUUCAAUGCAAGAUCCAAAAACACAAAAAUUUUCAGUUUUUUUCAACAUUCACAUAUUUCAUCUUUGAGGGUGGCGCCAUGCCUCCCAAAGGCAAGCAAGGGUCCAAUGGCAGGGGGAGGGGGGCAAGAAAUCAGCCCCGCAAGAAAGCACAGGUGUUCAGGCCAGAUGAGGACCAGCGCAAGCCUAGCAGGGACCUGCAGAUGUCAGAGGCAGUGGUGGUAGGCAGCCAGUCUGGCGGCUCSUUGCAUGCGCUUGCAGCCCAUGCAGCUGAUCAGUUGCAGCUUGAGCAGGAUCAGCAGCAGGUGAGCGAAGUCACACAUGCAGCCAAGAGGCCGCUGCGCGCAGCAGCACCCAAGCCGGGAGCUCACRAGGGUUUGGAUGGGGAGCCAGCCUACGAUGGUGAAAGUGAGGUACCAUAUUUGGUCAUUUCCUCCAUGCAAGCAUUUGGCGRCAAGGAAAGCCAAGAACCAUCCUCAAUCUUUCUACGCAGAGCACUAAAAUUCCAUAUUUGUGCAUCAUCAACUUGACCUGSMCCCCUAGCGCUAACAAACGUGAACUUGCCAUGAGCAUCAACACAUACGAAAAGAAUAAUAGCCAUGUGCUUUUUGUAUCAAUAGUAGACAYUACCCCACUCAUAUGGCUUUUCAAUCCUCAUGAAUGUUCCGUCYAUUGCACCAGCACAAAAAGGCAAAUUGCACAAGCCUCUGAAAUCUCGCAUGACGCGCAUGAGUUCCUGUCCUUCUGGAAAGACGAUCAUGCUUGGCACAAAUUUUUUGCACAGCACAUACACAACUUCAUGAAUUUACUUCUCAACAGGGAUCGCACUCCGCAUACGUGUGUCUUGCUUUGCUGCGCUGUGGGGUCACUACCAUCCAGAACCAAGGUGACAGCUGUUAUCACAACUUUCAAGGCCCAAGUUGAGAAGCCUGACUGCUCAGUUACUAGCUCUGGAAUGAUGGCUGCCAGCCAUACAAGGAGGAGGGCAGCACUCAUGGUCCUUUCUUGAAAGGGCCUGCAAGAGACUGUCUGAAAGGGGCACUUUCACCGUGGCUAAGCACUGAAGAAAAAAAUAUGAAAAAAUUUUGUGUUUGACCGCUCGCAAAAUUUUUCCGUCGAGGGCGAAAAAAUUUUUCGGUGGACGGAAAAAAAUCGUGUGUGACCGCAAAUUUUUUCCAAUUUCUGACGGAAAAANCACAAGCCCAAGGCACCUGCUCCUCAGGAGCACCAGCCUCAGGCACCAGCUCAGACGGGCUCUGGAGACAGCAGCAAUAAGAGGAAGAGAGAGCCUCAGGGGAGCACAUCUCGCGGGGCACCUGAGCACCAGCCAGUACAUGCUGUUGCACCAGCUCCACAAGAGCACCAGUCACAGCGCAUACUGGCCUCUGCUCAGCCGUCCCGCGAGAUGGCCCCUGUCGUGGUUCCGUCGUUUGUCAUGGAGCCGGGCCAAUGGGAGGUCUUGAAGCAGCACUGCGGUGUGGACGACAUUCGGGCGACGCUCUGCAGGCGCUCCACUGCCAAUUACGUCUCUGAGGAAGAGCAGCAGAAGUACGCAGUGGAGCUGGUGUCAUUUCUUGUCUAUGAGGGGGCGCUGCCUCAUACACCCACGCCCAGGCAGAGGGAGCGUGGUGCGGCCAGGAAUCUGAAACAGAGAGCAAAUACAUGACUGAGGUGUGUGCCUGGCUAGCUAGCUGCUGUUGUAAGGAGGAGUGCAUACAAAGAAACUCCAAACAUACGUUCAUGCAGCCCUUGUGUCUUCUUGUGAUACUGGUCAGAACCUGGCCAGCCCUUCUGGUUUCAAGUAGAGCUGUCCAUUUCUCCUCCCCUACUUCCU